Molecule: long non-coding RNA, 388 nt
Organism: Bufo bufo (common toad)
Lineage: Eukaryota; Metazoa; Chordata; Amphibia; Anura; Bufonidae
Exons: 3
Source: RefSeq, a predicted model, not a curated record
CGGUUUCUAUGAAGAGAAGUGCGCAUGCGCCGGCUACAGGCGUGAAAUUGGCAAAGAUGGAAGAGGCGGAGAGGGGAGUGACAGCAGCGAGCAAUGGCAAUGUGUUUAUCAAAGUGCGCAUACCCGGGCCUGGCGGUAAACUGUGCACAUGUGCGGGAUCUCGGGAACUGGAGAGAAUGAUGUGACAUCAUGAAAGUGCCGGCCAGACGAUACACUGGGGAGGAGUUAGGCAUAAAAAACGCUGAGGGGCCAGGGCGCUUACAGCAAGUAUCUAAUUUCCCAAUAGAAGUCAAUGGGAAAAUACACUGCCUGUCCAAAAAAUAAGUCGCCACCUGGAUUUAACUAAGCAAAUAGUUAUGAGCAUCCUAUUGGAUAAUUACUGCAUGGG